RNAcentral lists this ribosomal RNA (1439 nucleotides) under uncultured organism. RNAcentral describes it as "SSU rRNA". It matches the Rfam family "Bacterial small subunit ribosomal RNA". The record is from RNAcentral.
CUAUCGACAGGCUUAACACAUGCAAGUCGAGGGGCAGCACAGGUAGCAAUACCGGGUGGCGACCGGCGCACGGGUGAGUAACGCGUAUGCAACUUGCCUAUCAGAGGGGGAUAACCCGGCGAAAGUCGGACUAAUACCGCAUGAAGCAGGGAUCCCGCAUGGGAAUAUUUGCUAAAGAUUCAUCGCUGAUAGAUAGGCAUGCGUUCCAUUAGGCAGUUGGCGGGGUAACGGCCCACCAAACCGACGAUGGAUAGGGGUUCUGAGAGGAAGGUCCCCCACAUUGGUACUGAGACACGGACCAAACUCCUACGGGAGGCAGCAGUGAGGAAUAUUGGUCAAUGGCCGAGAGGCUGAACCAGCCAAGUCGCGUGAGGGAUGAAGGUUCUAUGGAUCGUAAACCUCUUUUAUAAGGGAAUAAAGUGCGGGACGUGUCCCGUUUUGUAUGUACCUUAUGAAUAAGGAUCGGCUAACUCCGUGCCAGCAGCCGCGGUAAUACGGAGGAUCCGAGCGUUAUCCGGAUUUAUUGGGUUUAAAGGGUGCGUAGGCGGCCUUUUAAGUCAGCGGUGAAAGUCUGUGGCUCAACCAUAGAAUUGCCGUUGAAACUGGGGGGCUUGAGUAUGUUUGAGGCAGGCGGAAUGCGUGGUGUAGCGGUGAAAUGCAUAGAUAUCACGCAGAACCCCGAUUGCGAAGGCAGCCUGCCAAGCCAUGACUGACGCUGAUGCACGAAAGCGUGGGGAUCAAACAGGAUUAGAUACCCUGGUAGUCCACGCAGUAAACGAUGAUCACUAGCUGUUUGCGAUACACUGUAAGCGGCACAGCGAAAGCGUUAAGUGAUCCACCUGGGGAGUACGCCGGCAACGGUGAAACUCAAAGGAAUUGACGGGGGCCCGCACAAGCGGAGGAGCAUGUGGUUUAAUUCGAUGAUACGCGAGGAACCUUACCCGGGUUUGAACGCAUUCGGACCGAGGUGGAAACACCUUUUCUAGCAAUAGCCGUUUGCGAGGUGCUGCAUGGUUGUCGUCAGCUCGUGCCGUGAGGUGUCGGCUUAAGUGCCAUAACGAGCGCAACCCUUGCCACUAGUUACUAACAGGUGAUGCUGAGGACUCUGGUGGGACUGCCAGCGUAAGCUGCGAGGAAGGCGGGGAUGACGUCAAAUCAGCACGGCCCUUACAUCCGGGGCGACACACGUGUUACAAUGGCGUGGACAAAGGGAAGCCACCUGGCGACAGGGAGCGAAUCCCCAAACCACGUCUCAGUUCGGAUCGGAGUCUGCAACCCGACUCCGUGAAGCUGGAUUCGCUAGUAAUCGCGCAUCAGCCAUGGCGCGGUGAAUACGUUCCCGGGCCUUGUACACACCGCCCGUCAAGCCAUGGGAGCCGGGGGUACCUGAAGUCCGUAACCGCGAGGAUCGGCCUAGGGUAAAACUGGUGACUGGGGCU